Molecule: ribosomal RNA, 274 nt
Filed under: uncultured bacterium
Lineage: Bacteria
Description: partial 16S ribosomal RNA
Rfam family: Bacterial small subunit ribosomal RNA
Source: RNAcentral
AUACGGAGGGUGCAAGCGUUACUCGGAAUCACUGGGCGUAAAGGACGCGUAGGCUGGAAGCCAAGUCUGAUGUGAAAUCCUACAGCUCAACUGUAGAACUGCAUUGGAAACUGGUUACCUAGAGUAUGGGAGGGGGAGAUGGAAUUAGUGGUGUAGGGGUAAAAUCCGUAGAUAUCACUAGGAAUACCGAAAGCGAAGGCGAUCUCCUGGAACAAUACUGACGCUAAGGCGUGAAAGCGUGGGGAGCAAACGGGAUUAGAAACCCUAGUAGUCC